CUUGAUGUACCCUUCCAGCUUUUACCAACAAUUAUUUUUCCUAAUCUGUCCCGGUUGUGAGACUCAUUUUACGUCACUCCAGAUAAGUCAGUCUGGCAUAGGACGCGAGAGCCGUAUGGUGAGGAAGAGCGUGUGGAUGUGAGGAGGAAUAGGCAGUGGGGAUGAAGGAUAAGCGGUAGAAUGGGGAAUAAGAGUAAUGAGAGUAAGGAGAAAUGAGUGGUGGUAAUAUUUGAUAACGUGUAAAUGAGGAACGCCGGAAAAUUGAGAUAAAAGAUGAUUCUCAAAAAUGAUUUUGUCACUUCAGGAUGGAAUUUCAGUGGUCGAUAGCAAUAAGAGAAGAUGGUGCAAAAUAGAUAGAUAGAUGAAUGUGUAUAGAGACAGA
Molecule: long non-coding RNA, 382 nt
Organism: Penaeus chinensis
Lineage: Eukaryota; Metazoa; Arthropoda; Malacostraca; Decapoda; Penaeidae
Exons: 2
Source: RefSeq, a predicted model, not a curated record